GACGAACGCUGGCGGUGUGCUUAACACAUGCAAGUCGAACGGAAAGGCCCUGCUUUUGUGGGGUGCUCGAGUGGCGAACGGGUGAGUAACACGUGUGUAACCUGCCCUUGACUUUGGGAUAACUUCAGGAAACUGGGCCUAAUACCGUAUAGGAGCUCCUGCUGCAUUGUGUGGGUUGGAAAGUUUCGGCGGUUGGGGAUGGACUCGCGGCUUAUCGACUUGUUGGUGGGGUAGUGGCUUACCAAUGCCUUGACGGGUAGCCGGCCUGAGAGGGUGACCGGCCACAUGGGAACUGAGAUACGGCCCAGACGCGUACGGAAGGCAACAGUGGGGAAUAUUGCACAAUGGGCGGAAGCCUGAGGCAGCAACGCCGCGUGCGGGAUGACGGCCUUCGGGUUGUAAACCGCUUUCGCCUGUGACGAAGCGUGAGUGACGGUAAUGGGUAAAGAAGCACCGGCUAGCUACGUG
Molecule: ribosomal RNA, 468 nt
Filed under: uncultured bacterium
Lineage: Bacteria
Description: partial 16S ribosomal RNA
Rfam family: Bacterial small subunit ribosomal RNA
Source: RNAcentral